AAGGCAUUUCUCUUACACUAAUCACAAGAAGUCCUGUCACAAUACACACUUUCAACAGUACUUCUACGCAGGAAUGAGUUUCUUACUAAUUUGCGCUGUUUUGGCAUCUUGUAUACCUCUGUCGUUUUCGUUUAUGCUGGAUGGACAACCAGGAAACAUACAGGAAAUAGCAAAUGAGCUUGGUAAACUUCAGUCCGAGGUGGCGGCACUAAAAGAAAUGAUUCAAGAAUUACAGGAAACAUGUCCUUCAUGAAACAGUCAUCUCCAGCAUUUAUGGCAUCGUUAAGCAUGUUCGUGACAUGUACUGUUGACGCUCCGCUCGUAUUCGAUCGAGAACAGCUCGACACGCGCCAGGCAUACGAUACUCGACAUGGACUGUUUCGCGCACCAGUGAACGGAACAUACAUGUUUACUGCAACAAUUGCUGCUCAACCAAAUCAAGGGUUUCACGUUAAAUUAGUAAGAAAUUCACUGUCGGACGAAAUUGGUUACUUAUUUUCGGACAACGGGCACUCCGGAUGGAACGAGCGGUCGACAACCAUUGUUGUUAAGCUUGCUGCUGGUGAUGACGUUUGGUUAGCAUGCACAAUGCCUAGCAACAUCACGGGCGGAAAUUCUGGAAUGGAACAUGAUUAUCAUUCACACUUUUCUGGGUUCUUUAUCGACGCGUUCUAACAACAACGGGGUAGCCUUGUUAGCAGAUCUUUCAACACAACAUGUCUAUCUACCGAAUGGCUGAUUGUUGUUGUAUUUUCUUUAAAUCUAAAUCGUUCGGGAUCCCGUUUGAUUGUAUCAAUGGCUAAUUUUAUUAUACCAACAUCCAGUUUGCAAAAGCGGCUAUUCCUAAAUGAUCCACACAUGUGUUAUCAUAAAUGUAAUUGUAAUAAUUGUGUUAAUAUGAUUUUACUUGAUCAUUUUUAUCGUGUAUGAUGACGGUGCUUGUCUAGGCAUUGGAAUGUUUAGGUUCAGCGUAUAUUUGCUUUUGCCUCAAGACAUAAUAGUGAGUAGAACCCCCCCCCCCCCCCCCCACCUUUCGCAAUGCUUAAUUGUUAAACAUGAACGUUUGCUUCUUAUAAUAUAGCUUCCCCAUUUUUAACUUCAAUGAGUUGUUUUUUAGUAAGUGUAUAAAUUCUUCCAAUUGAUAACUGAUAUAUUUCUUACAUACAAUUGUGCUUUUGUAUCAAUUGCAUUGUUUUGCAAUCUAUGAAUUGUGUACUUGCCACACAUGUGCCUAUAUUAUAUAAAUUACAAUAUACUUUUU
Long non-coding RNA from Dreissena polymorpha, 1261 nucleotides. RefSeq lists it as uncharacterized. The record is from RefSeq and is a predicted model, not a curated record. The transcript has 3 exons. Lineage: Eukaryota; Metazoa; Mollusca; Bivalvia; Myida; Dreissenidae.